Molecule: small nuclear RNA, 107 nt
Organism: Vombatus ursinus (common wombat)
Lineage: Eukaryota; Metazoa; Chordata; Mammalia; Diprotodontia; Vombatidae
Source: Ensembl
GUGAUUGAUUCGGCAGCACAUGUAGUAAAAUUGAACUAUACAGAGAAGAUUGGCAUGGCCCCUGCGCAAGGGUGACACAAAUUCGUGAAGAAUCCAUGGUCUACUUU